AGUGGCGACGGGUGAGUAACGCGUGGGUAACCUGCCUCAUACAGGGGGAUAACAGUUGGAAACGACUGCUAAGACCGCAUAACCCGCUAGUGUCGCAUGACACGGACGGAAAAUAUUUAUAGGUAUGAGAUGGGCCCGCGUCUGAUUAGCUAGUUGGUAAGGUAACGGCUUACCAAGGCGACGAUCAGUAGCCGACUUGAGAGAGUGAUCGGCCACAUUGGGACUGAGACACGGCCCAAACUCCUACGGGAGGCAGCAGUGGGGAAUAUUGGACAAUGGGGGAAACCCUGAUCCAGCCGACGCCGCGUGAGUGAAGAAGUAUUUCGGUAUGUAAAGCUCUAUCAGCAGGGAAGAUAAUGACAGUACCUGACUAAGAAGCCCCGGCUAACUACGUGCCAGCCGCCGC
RNAcentral lists this ribosomal RNA (406 nucleotides) under uncultured bacterium. Its description in RNAcentral is "bacterial SSU rRNA". It matches the Rfam family "Bacterial small subunit ribosomal RNA", at positions 94 to 518 of the family's 1533-position model. The record is from RNAcentral.